Molecule: ribosomal RNA, 436 nt
Filed under: uncultured bacterium
Lineage: Bacteria
Description: bacterial SSU rRNA
Rfam family: Bacterial small subunit ribosomal RNA
Source: RNAcentral
AACGCGAAGAACCUUACCUGGGCUUGAACUGCACCGGACAAAGGUAGAAAUACCUCUCCCGCAAGGGCUGGUGUAGAGGUGCUGCAUGGCUGUCGUCAGCUCGUGCCGUGAGGUGUUGGGUUAAGUCCCGCAACGAGCGCAACCCUUACCCUUAGUUGCCACCCGCAAGGGGGAACUCUAAGGGGACUGCUCCGGAUAACGGAGAGGAAGGUGGGGAUGAGGUCAAGUCAGCAUGGCCUUUAUGUCCAGGGCUACACACGUGUUACAAUGCAUGGUACAGACCGCUGCAAACCCGCGAGGGGGAGCUAACCGGAAAAAACCAUGCUCAGUUCGGAUUGCAGUCUGCAACUCGACUGCAUGAAGCCGGAAUCGCUAGUAAUGGCGUAUCAGAACGACGCCGUGAAUACGUUCCCGGGCCUUGUACACACCGGUACUA